RNAcentral lists this unclassified non-coding RNA (873 nucleotides) under Hevea brasiliensis (rubber tree). Lineage: Eukaryota; Viridiplantae; Streptophyta; Magnoliopsida; Malpighiales; Euphorbiaceae. The record is from RNAcentral.
GUAUUUUUCCACUGAAAUUGUUACCGCUAAUCCUAAAAUCUUUUAAUUUGGUGAUCUUAGCGAGUUCCUUAGGUAACGAUCCGGAGAGAUUGUUGGCAUUAAGAAUGAGGGUAUCCAAUUCAACCAAGUUUCCAAGCUCACCAGGAAUAGGUCCAUAAAAAAGAUUGUUCUCUAAGUUCAGGUAUGUAAGCGAGGUGAUGCUUCCCAAGUAUGUUGGAAUUGGACCUGUUAAGUUGUUCACUGAGAUGGACAGAAUUUCCAGUUUUGUGAAAGCCCAUUCAGGUGGUAUAUUGCCACUAAGGUAGUUACGAGUCAGAUCAAGUCCCUUAAGGAAAGGCAGCUUCGCAAUUGAUUUUGGAAGCACACCAUCAAAAUCUCUCUCCUUGAGAAUUAUGUAAAAAACAUGGCAUACACCAUCCAGGCCUGUGCAAUUGCAGAGGAUCGUAUUCUUGUAAGGUUUAGUGAAGUCUGAUUCCUUCCAGUGUGACAAGUCAUUGCUGCUGGCAGGUUGGAAUCUCCAGUCUUCUUUUCCCAGUUGUGUUGCAAUUUCACGUAGAGCUUCCACUUCAUCAACAGGAAAUGAAAGAUUCACAGAUAGUGCUUCAACCGUGCACAUUUGCAACAUAAGCAUAAGCAAGGUAGGUCUUAAAAUACCGGGAAUAGCCUUCCUCUUCUUCACCAUCCACUUCCCACUGCGCAAGCCUUCAUCUGGAUCCAAGGGCGAUGGACCAAAGCAACCCACCAUAGCUUGGAAUAAGAAAAAACACUGUUUAAAAUAAGAGCAGACGAAUUGGACCCUCAAUCCUGCAUAUCAAUCCAAGAAAUUGCAGAAGUGGCUAAUAGGUAUGCCAUACAAUUUGCUGACCUUUUAAU